This 292-nucleotide ribosomal RNA is filed under the name uncultured bacterium. RNAcentral's name for it is "partial 16S ribosomal RNA". It matches the Rfam family "Bacterial small subunit ribosomal RNA", at positions 505 to 796 of the family's 1533-position model. The record is from RNAcentral.
GUGCAAGCCGCCGCGGUAACACGUAGGGGGCGAGCGUUGUUCGGAAUUAUUGGGCGUAAAGGGCGCGCAGGCGGCCCGGUAAGUCUGGUGUUUAAGACCGCAGCUUAACUGUGGUAAUGCGCUGGAAACUGUCGGGCUUGAGUGCAGGAGGGGGAGCUGGAAUUCCAGGUGUAGGGGUGAAAUCUGUAGAGAUCUGGAAGAACACCGGUGGCGAAGGCGAGCUCCUGGCCAUGGACUGACGCUGAGGCGCGAAAGCGUGGGGAGCAAACAGGAUUAGAAACCCCAGUAGUCC